UGGGGAAUUUUGGACAAUGGGCGCAAGCCUGAUCCAGCAAUGCCGCGUGCAGGAUGAAGGCCUUCGGGUUGUAAACUGCUUUUGUACGGAACGAAAAGGCUCUGGUUAAUACCUGGACAUAUGACGGUACCGUAAGAAUAAGCACCGGCUAACUACGUGCCAGCAGCCGCGGUAAUACGUAGGGUGCGAGCGUUAAUCGGAAUUACUGGGCGUAAAGCGUGCGCAGGCGGUUUUGUAAGACAGAGGUGAAAUCCCCGGGCUCAACCUGGGAACUGCCUUUGUGACUGCAAGGCUGGAGUGCGGCAGAGGGGGAUGGAAUUCCGCGUGUAGCAGUGAAAUGCGUGAUAUGCGGAGGAACACCGAUGGCGAAGGNAAUCCCCUGGCCUGACUGACGCUCAUGCACGAAAGCGUGGGGAGCAAACAGGAUUAGAUACCCUGGUAGUCCACGCCCUAAAGCGAUGUCAACUGGCUUGUUGGGUCUUAAUUGACUCAGUAACGAAGCUAACGCGUGAAGUUGACCGCCUGGGGAGUACGGCCGCAAGGUUGAACUCAAAUGAAUUGACGGGGUCAUA
This 572-nucleotide ribosomal RNA is filed under the name uncultured bacterium. RNAcentral describes it as "partial 16S ribosomal RNA". It matches the Rfam family "Bacterial small subunit ribosomal RNA", at positions 355 to 923 of the family's 1533-position model. The record is from RNAcentral.